UACGGGGGGGGCAAGCGUUGUUCGGAAUCACUGGGCGUAAAGGGCGCGUAGGCGGCUUUGUAAGUCGGGGGUGAAAGCCUGUGGCUCAACCACAGAAUUGCCUUCGAUACUGCAUGGCUUGAGACCGGAAGAGGUUAGUGGAACUGCGAGUGUAGAGGUGAAAUUCGUAGAUAUUCGCAAGAACACCAGUGGCGAAGGCGGCUGACUGGUCCGGUUCUGACGCUGAGGCGCGAAAGCGUGGGGAGCAAACAGG
Molecule: ribosomal RNA, 253 nt
Filed under: uncultured bacterium
Lineage: Bacteria
Description: partial 16S ribosomal RNA
Rfam family: Bacterial small subunit ribosomal RNA
Source: RNAcentral